UAGGGAAUCUUCGGCAAUGGACGAAAGUCUGACCGAGCAACGCCGCGUGAGUGAAGAAGGUUUUCGGAUCGUAAAACUCUGUUGGUAGAGAAGAACGAGGGUGAGAGUAACUGUUCACCCCUUGACGGUAUCUAACCAGAAAGCCACGGCUAACUACGUGCCAG
RNAcentral lists this ribosomal RNA (164 nucleotides) under uncultured bacterium. RNAcentral describes it as "partial 16S rRNA". It matches the Rfam family "Bacterial small subunit ribosomal RNA", at positions 355 to 511 of the family's 1533-position model. The record is from RNAcentral.